RNAcentral lists this ribosomal RNA (501 nucleotides) under Escherichia coli. Its description in RNAcentral is "partial 23S ribosomal RNA". It matches the Rfam family "Bacterial large subunit ribosomal RNA", at positions 2180 to 2680 of the family's 2925-position model. Lineage: Bacteria; Pseudomonadati; Pseudomonadota; Gammaproteobacteria; Enterobacterales; Enterobacteriaceae. The record is from RNAcentral.
AUGGAGCCGACCUUGAAAUACCACCCUUUAAUGUUUGAUGUUCUAACGUUGACCCGUGAUCCGGGUUGCGGACAGUGUCUGGUGGGUAGUUUGACUGGGGCGGUCUCCUCCUAAAGAGUAACGGAGGAGCACGAAGGUUGGCUAAUCCUGGUCGGACAUCAGGAGGUUAGUGCAAUGGCAUAAGCCAGCUUGACUGCGAGCGUGACGGCGCGAGCAGGUGCGAAAGCAGGUCAUAGUGAUCCGGUGGUUCUGAAUGGAAGGGCCAUCGCUCAACGGAUAAAAGGUACUCCGGGGAUAACAGGCUGAUACCGCCCAAGAGUUCAUAUCGACGGCGGUGUUUGGCACCUCGAUGUCGGCUCAUCACAUCCUGGGGCUGAAGUAGGUCCCAAGGGUAUGGCUGUUCGCCAUUUAAAGUGGUACGCGAGCUGGGUUUAGAACGUCGUGAGACAGUUCGGUCCCUAUCUGCCGUGGGCGCUGGAGAACUGAGGGGGGCUGCUCCUA